ACUUACAGAUGGACCCGCGGCGCAUUAGCUAGUUGGUGAGGUAACGGCUCACCAAGGCAACGAUGCGUAGCCGACCUGAGAGGGUGAUCGGCCACACUGGGACUGAGACACGGCCCAGACUCCUACGGGAGGCAGCAGUAGGGAAUCUUCCGCAAUGGACGAAAGUCUGACGGAGCAACGCCGCGUGAGUGAUGAAGGUUUUCGGAUCGUAAAGCUCUGUUGUUAGGGAAGAACAAGUGCGAUUGACGGUACCUAACCAGAAAGCCACGGCUAACUACGUGCCAGCAGCCGCGGUAAUACGUAGGUGGCAAGCGUUGUCCGGAAUUAUUGGGCGUAAAGCGCGCGCAGGUGGUUCCUUAAGUCUGAUGUGAAAGCCCACGGCUCAACCGUGGAGGGUCAUUGGAAACUGGGGAACUUGAGUGCAGAAGAGGAAAGUGGAAUUCAUGUAGCGGUGAAAUGCGUAGAUAU
This 468-nucleotide ribosomal RNA is filed under the name Bacillus sp. (in: firmicutes). RNAcentral describes it as "bacterial SSU rRNA". It matches the Rfam family "Bacterial small subunit ribosomal RNA", at positions 217 to 697 of the family's 1533-position model. The record is from RNAcentral. Lineage: Bacteria; Bacillati; Bacillota; Bacilli; Caryophanales; Bacillaceae.